This is a long non-coding RNA of Physeter macrocephalus (sperm whale), 520 nucleotides long. RefSeq lists it as uncharacterized. The record is from RefSeq and is a predicted model, not a curated record. The transcript is spliced from 3 exons. Lineage: Eukaryota; Metazoa; Chordata; Mammalia; Artiodactyla; Physeteridae.
GGUUUCUGCAGUAAUCUCAAACACUAAAGUGUCUGAAUCACCCAGAUGAAGAAAACUCCUGGGCCUGCAGCUUCUGAAGAAUGAUGGCGCCAUGGUGAUUUACAGUCCUCCCUUGCAGAGCUGUUUGAAAAUAAUUAUGACUAUUGAUAGCACGUUCACGGACUCCCUAUUGUAUCAGGGAGCUGGCCGCACAGGAACUGCAGAGCACAGGACACGGUGGUUCAGUAUAAAGAGCAAAAACUCCUGUGUAUCCUGGCUUCUCCCUUACCUCUUUGGAACAGUCCCUCAGAGCUGUCGACUGAAAAACAAACAAUAAAAAACCACAACCUAAAAGUUGAGAGUUAUUUUUCAUUUGGCGGGAAUUUUUAGGACUUCAAGCUCAGGAGGCAGCAUCUCAAGUAACCCUGAGAAAACUGCUCCGAGGAGGCGAGGGGGGAGCCAGGUUACAUAGAAGUUUUGCAACAAAGGGUAGGUAGUUGGGGAGAUCAAAAGAUUAUUGUUAAUGAAAGAAAACCAGGCA